This is a small nuclear RNA of Gigantopelta aegis, 114 nucleotides long. RefSeq annotates it as U5 spliceosomal RNA. The record is from RefSeq and is a predicted model, not a curated record. The transcript has a single exon. NCBI's taxonomy places the organism in Eukaryota, Metazoa, Mollusca, Gastropoda, Neomphalida, Peltospiridae.
UAACUCUGGUCUUCCCUCAGAUCGCAUAAAUCUUCGCCUUUUACUAAAGAUUUCCGUGGGGGAGGACAAAUGAUGAGUCUAUACUAAUUUUUUUGUUGGCCCCUCUGGGGGCUG